AGGGCACCACCAGGAGUGGAGCCUGCGGCUUAAUUUGACUCAACACGGGAAAACUCACCCGGCCCGGACACUGGAAGGAUUGACAGAUUGAGAGCUCUUUCUUGAUUCAGUGGGUGGUGGUGCAUGGCCGUUCUUAGUUGGUGGAGUGAUUUGUCUGGUUAAUUCCGAUAACGAACGAGACUCUAGCCUAUUAAAUAGAUCGUUGGCUUACAAACGCCGGCGAGACUUCUUAGAGGGACAGGCGGCGAUUCAGCCGCACGAAACAGAGCAAUAACAGGUCUGUGAUGCCCUUAGAUGUCCGGGGCCGCACGCGCGCUACACUGAAGUGAUCAGCGUGCAUUUUGAAACCUACUCUGUCAAGAGUGGGGAACCCAAUGAACCUUCUUCGUGAUUGGGAUAGGGGAUUGUAAUUAUUCCCCUUGAACGAGGAGUUCCCAGUAAGCGCGAAUCAUAAGUUUGCGCUGAUUACGUCCCUGCCCUUUGUACACACCGCCCGUCGCUACUACCGAUUGAAUGUUU
This 519-nucleotide ribosomal RNA is filed under the name uncultured eukaryote. RNAcentral's name for it is "SSU rRNA". It matches the Rfam family "Eukaryotic small subunit ribosomal RNA", at positions 1161 to 1698 of the family's 1831-position model. The record is from RNAcentral.